This 476-nucleotide ribosomal RNA is filed under the name uncultured organism. RNAcentral's name for it is "partial 16S ribosomal RNA". It matches the Rfam family "Bacterial small subunit ribosomal RNA", at positions 333 to 800 of the family's 1533-position model. The record is from RNAcentral.
ACACUCCUGCGGGAGGCAGCAGUGGGGAAUAUUGCACAAUGGGCGCAAGCCUGAUGCAGCCAUGCCGCGUGUAUGAAGAAGGCCUUCGGGUUGUAAAGUACUUUCAGCGGGGAGGAAGGCGAUAAGGUUAAUAACCUUGUCGAUUGACGUUACCCGCAGAAGAAGCACCGGCUAACUCCGUGCCAGCAGCCGCGGUAAUACGGAGGGUGCAAGCGUUAAUCGGAAUUACUGGGCGUAAAGCGCACGCAGGCGGUCUGUCAAGUCGGAUGUGAAAUCCCCGGGCUCAACCUGGGAACUGCAUUCGAAACUGGCAGGCUAGAGUCUUGUAGAGGGGGGUAGAAUUCCAGGUGUAGCGGUGAAAUGCGUAGAGAUCUGGAGGAAUACCGGUGGCGAAGGCGGCCCCCUGGACAAAGACUGACGCUCAGGUGCGAAAGCGUGGGGAGCAAACAGGAUUAGAUACCCCGGUAGUCCCAUGA